UGUUUGCUGUGAUGACAUCUACAAGGACGGUAUCUGAGUAAGGUGGCUCUUAAAAAAAAGGUGCCCCCUCUGUGAUUACAUCCAAUCUGAUUGAGAUUCUGAGCAAACA
RNAcentral lists this small nucleolar RNA (109 nucleotides) under Dichanthelium oligosanthes. RNAcentral's name for it is "Small nucleolar RNA Z118/Z121/Z120". It matches the Rfam family "Small nucleolar RNA Z118/Z121/Z120". From Rfam's summary of the family: This family consists of several snoRNA Z118, Z121 and Z120 sequences which are members of the C/D class of snoRNA which contain the C (UGAUGA) and D (CUGA) box motifs. This family seems to be found exclusively in rice. Lineage: Eukaryota; Viridiplantae; Streptophyta; Magnoliopsida; Poales; Poaceae. The record is from Rfam by way of RNAcentral.